This 56-nucleotide small RNA is filed under the name Salix viminalis (osier). Lineage: Eukaryota; Viridiplantae; Streptophyta; Magnoliopsida; Malpighiales; Salicaceae. The record is from RNAcentral.
ACGAGCCACAUGCAGGGAAACUGCAACGUGUGGUUCUGGCCGGGGACUCACGGUAU